RNAcentral lists this non-coding RNA (190 nucleotides) under Spirochaetota bacterium. Its description in RNAcentral is "Spirochaetes bacterium (marine sediment metagenome) 6S RNA". It matches the Rfam family "6S / SsrS RNA". Rfam says of the family: E. coli 6S RNA was the first non coding RNA to be sequenced, but its function was unknown until recently. It consists of 184 nucleotides that fold into an extended hairpin structure with a large single-stranded internal bulge. Lineage: Bacteria; Pseudomonadati; Spirochaetota. The record is from RNAcentral.
CUCUGCCUGCUGUGUUUGUGAUACCGGCAUACCUAUUUUUGAGCCAAUAAUACCAAGAAUGGGAUGUCAAUAUUUACCCGUGAAAUGCGCCCGCCCUAGAGGUUUAAGAGUACAUGAAACGGGUGUGAGACGGCCCACCUGUUAAUUCAGGUUCAAAAUGGCCCCGGUACACGGCACAAGCGGGCUUUUA